Molecule: ribosomal RNA, 253 nt
Filed under: uncultured bacterium
Lineage: Bacteria
Description: partial 16S ribosomal RNA
Rfam family: Bacterial small subunit ribosomal RNA
Source: RNAcentral
UACGAAGGGGGCUAGCGUUGCUCGGAAUUACUGGGCGUAAAGCGCACGUAGGCGGAUUGUUAAGUCAGGGGUGAAAUCCCGGGGCUCAACCCCGGAACUGCCUCUGAUACUGACGGUCUUGAGUCCGGGAGAGGUGAGUGGAACUGCGAGUGUAGAGGUGAAAUUCGUAGAUAUUCGCAAGAACACCAGUGGCGAAGGCGGCUCACUGGCCCGGUACUGACGCUGAGGUGCGAAAGCGUGGGGAGCAAACAGG